CACUUUCUCAUGGGGAACCAGGCUUCGCUCCACCCUGGAGCCAGGGUACGGAGAUGUCCGGGCCUUCUCGUGGGGCUUCUCAGCAGUGCGCUUCGAACCUGAGGCAACUGGUCAUCUCCUUCAUGCUGAAGAAAGCUGCCAUCCUGCCCAGGGAGGAGUAGGACAAGAAGAGGGGAGAAGACUCUGAGGGGGAAAAGAAGUCAGGCGGAGAUAUAUGGGAACACAAAGAAAAAAUGAGAGCCAGAGUACACAAGACGAGAGAGAAAAAAGAAAUGUUAAGGGAGUGACGGCGAAGAAGAGGAUAGAACGGUAACGGAAGCAGAAGGGCAAAGAGGGACAAGUAAGAAGGAGAGAAUUCUAGGACCUGGGAAGAGAAAGUUCCUGCUGCACUGCGGAAUCCGGCCUAAAGGAAGAGGCAACCAGGUGCAGCACCCAAGCCCAGGUGCCACUCAUUUGCCGCUGGGCUCUCAGACCCAUUCUCCUUUUGCGGCUGUCACAUAUUCUGUAGGGAUUCUGAGCCCUGCCCUCUGUCAUCUUGUCCACUGGCUUCUCCUGCUUUCCACCACUGGGUGGCCUUGGAGGGUGGGAGGAAGGGAGAAGCCAGGGGGACUCUCAUCCCCUACUUUGGAAGAUGUCUGCCACAGUAGUUGCACUAACUUUGUGGCUCCAACUCCUAUUGGACAAGCCCUCCAGGGUUCUGGCUGUCUCCUCUCUUUGCCCCUCCAGCCUCAGGGGAGAAGGCACGUCCAGCAGUUGCUAACCUCAGGAUUGCCUCACCUUACCCUAGUUGAACGUCCAGUUCUUUCAACACUUGUAACUAAUUUGCUGCAUUAAAUUAUUGCUAUUGA
This is a long non-coding RNA of Gorilla gorilla gorilla (western lowland gorilla), 848 nucleotides long. RefSeq lists it as uncharacterized. The record is from RefSeq and is a predicted model, not a curated record. Lineage: Eukaryota; Metazoa; Chordata; Mammalia; Primates; Hominidae. The transcript has 2 exons.